GUGAAUCAUCAAAUCUUUGAACGCAAAUUGCACUCACUGGUAUUCCGGAGAGUAUACCUGUUUGAGGGUCAGUUUAAAUAAAAAUCGGCGUGGUUGCUGCCUUAAGUGGUGACGCACCGGAUUUGGGUCGUAUUGCCUUCGGUUAAGUGACUUUAAAUUUUGCUUGAUUUUUUUCGAACGUAUUUAAAUGAUUUUACGUACGUUUGUGUUAUUGAAUACUAGGUGAGGUCAUUCUCAUGAUUU
RNAcentral lists this unclassified non-coding RNA (243 nucleotides) under Glomus sp. RNAcentral describes it as "partial contains 5.8S ribosomal RNA and internal transcribed spacer 2". The stretch from base 1 to 71 matches the Rfam family "5.8S ribosomal RNA", at positions 84 to 154 of the family's 154-position model. Lineage: Eukaryota; Fungi; Glomeromycota; Glomeromycetes; Glomerales; Glomeraceae. The record is from RNAcentral.